RNAcentral lists this ribosomal RNA (253 nucleotides) under uncultured bacterium. RNAcentral's name for it is "partial 16S ribosomal RNA". It matches the Rfam family "Bacterial small subunit ribosomal RNA", at positions 524 to 776 of the family's 1533-position model. The record is from RNAcentral.
UACGGGGGGGGCAAGCGUUGUUCGGAAUUACUGGGCGUAAAGGGCUCAUAGGCGGCCAACUAAGUCGGAUGUGAAAUCCCCAGGCUUAACCUGGGAAUUGCAUCCGAUACUGGAUGGCUUGAAUCCGGGAGAGGGAUGCGGAAUUCCAGGUGUAGCGGUGAAAUGCGUAGAUAUGACAUAGAACACCAAUUGCGAAGGCAGCUUACUACACAGUCAUUGACACUGAGGCACGAAAGCGUGGGGAUCAAACAGG